GACGGACGGUGCAAGCGUUGCUCGGAAUUACUGGGCGUAAAGCGCACGUAGGCGGCUUCUUAAGUCGGUGGUGAAAUCCUGGAGCUCAACUCCAGAACUGCCUUCGAUACUGGGGAGCUCGAGUCCGGGAGAGGUGAGUGGAACUGCGAGUGUAGAGGUGAAAUUCGUAGAUAUUCGCAAGAACACCAGUGGCGAAGGCGGCUCACUGGCCCGGUACUGACGCUGAGGUGCGAAAGCGUGGGGAGCAAACAGG
This 253-nucleotide ribosomal RNA is filed under the name uncultured bacterium. RNAcentral describes it as "partial 16S ribosomal RNA". It matches the Rfam family "Bacterial small subunit ribosomal RNA", at positions 524 to 776 of the family's 1533-position model. The record is from RNAcentral.